Molecule: ribosomal RNA, 606 nt
Filed under: Triticum aestivum (bread wheat)
Lineage: Eukaryota; Viridiplantae; Streptophyta; Magnoliopsida; Poales; Poaceae
Description: partial small subunit ribosomal RNA
Source: RNAcentral
AUGGACACACUGCAAGCAAUGAUCCAUUGGGCGGUCCAAAAUAAUCUGCUAUCUGAUCUGGGCCUACCUCCCAACUGCCCAAGGGCUUCCUUCUUUGCAGAUGAUGCCAUUAUCUUCUUCAGACCUUACCCGAGGGAUUUGGACGUAAUCUCAGCCAUUCUAACGCUGUUUGCCAAGGCUACGGGCCUUCGCAUCAAUAUGCAAAAAACCACUGUUACUUGCAUCACAUGUGACGACGCUGUCUCUGCUAGUGUGGCGCAACACUUUUCGUGUCAGCUGGAAACCUUCCCUUUGCAGUACCUAGGAUUACCGCUUUCUAUUUUCAGGCUGAGACGUCAGGACAUUUUGCCACUCAUCGACAAGUUUUCCAACAAAAUGAAGGGGUGGAAACCCAAGCUUAUGGCCCCUGCAGGACGUUUAACACUCACGCAAUCAGUUCUGAUGGCCCUGCCAAUCCACUUCUUGUCGGUUCUGCUGCUGCCGGCGUGGGCACUUAAGACAAUCAACAGGAGAUGUCGGAGUUUUAUUUGGAAAGGAGGCAUUGAUAUUAGUGGUGGGAACUGCCUGUUACCUUGGGCUAGGGUAUGCAUGCCUAAGGAAUGCGGA